GUCCAGACUCCUACGGGAGGCAGCAGUGGGGGAUAUUGCACAAUGGGGGGAACCCUGAUGCAGCGACGCCGCGUGAGUGAAGAAGUCAUUCGUGAUGUAAAGCUCUCUCAGCAGGGAAGAAAAUGACGGUACCUGACCAAGAAGCCCCGGCUAACUGCGUGCCGGCAGCCGCGGUAAUACGUAGGGGGCAAGCGUUAUCCGGAUUUACUGGGUGUAAAGGGAGCGUAGACGGUUGCGCAAGUCUGGAGUGAAAGGCGGGGGCCCAACCCCCGGACUGCUCUGGAAACUGUGUAACUGGAGUGCAGGAGAGGUAAGUGGAAUUCCUAGUGUAGCGGUGAAAUGCGUAGAUAUUAGGAGGAACACCAGUGGCGAAGGCGGCUUACUGGACUGUAACUGACGUUGAGGCUCGAAAGCGUGGGGAGCAAACAGGAUUAGAUACCCCCGUAA
RNAcentral lists this ribosomal RNA (447 nucleotides) under uncultured bacterium. RNAcentral describes it as "bacterial SSU rRNA". It matches the Rfam family "Bacterial small subunit ribosomal RNA", at positions 329 to 793 of the family's 1533-position model. The record is from RNAcentral.